CACACAGCGUUGAUGAGAUAACAAGUAAGCCGCAGCCCGGCAUUCAGAGAGAGGAUUCCUUCCGGCCUUGCGCCGGUCGGCUGCAAGAAUCCCCGUGCCGAAGAGCGUGCCGAAGCUGGUCUCGGAGCGUGGAUGAACUCCACCGGCAGCGGAUCCGUUAUCUUCCGCAUCGAGGAGAUUGCCCCCUUCGGUAGCCCAAGCGGCGGCUGGAGAGCGGCAGUAACCAGGGUGGUACCGCGAUAUGAAUCGUCCCUGUC
RNAcentral lists this non-coding RNA (257 nucleotides) under Paenibacillus sp. P22. Lineage: Bacteria; Bacillati; Bacillota; Bacilli; Caryophanales; Paenibacillaceae. The record is from RNAcentral.